GGGAAGGUGGCUCAGUGGUAGAGUGCUUGCCUUGCAUGCAUGAGGCCCUGGGUUUGAUUCUUAACCACCACA
This 72-nucleotide transfer RNA is filed under the name Dipodomys ordii (Ord's kangaroo rat). It matches the Rfam family "tRNA". Rfam says of the family: Transfer RNA (tRNA) molecules are approximately 80 nucleotides in length. Their secondary structure includes four short double-helical elements and three loops (D, anti-codon, and T loops). Further hydrogen bonds mediate the characteristic L-shaped molecular structure. tRNAs have two regions of fundamental functional importance: the anti-codon, which is responsible for specific mRNA codon recognition, and the 3' end, to which the tRNAs corresponding amino acid is attached (by aminoacyl-tRNA synthetases). tRNAs cope with the degeneracy of the genetic code in two manners: having more than one tRNA (with a specific anti-codon) for a particular amino acid; and 'wobble' base-pairing, i.e. permitting non-standard base-pairing at the 3rd anti-codon position. Lineage: Eukaryota; Metazoa; Chordata; Mammalia; Rodentia; Heteromyidae. The record is from Rfam by way of RNAcentral.